Molecule: ribosomal RNA, 253 nt
Filed under: uncultured bacterium
Lineage: Bacteria
Description: partial 16S ribosomal RNA
Rfam family: Bacterial small subunit ribosomal RNA
Source: RNAcentral
UACGAAGGGGGCUAGCGUUGCUCGGAUUUACUGGGCGUAAAGGGCGCGUAGGCGGUUCGUACAGUCAGUCGUGAAAUUCCUGGGCUCAACCUGGGGGCUGCGUUUGAUACGUGCGGACUUGAGUGCGGAAGAGGGUCGUGGAAUUCCCAGUGUAGAGGUGAAAUUCGUAGAUAUUGGGAAGAACACCGGUGGCGAAGGCGGCGACCUGGUCCGAUACUGACGCUGAGGCGCGAAAGCGUGGGGAGCAAACAGG